GUCCACGCCGUAAAACGAUGACUGCUAGGUGUCGGGGUGGCAAAGCCAUUCGGUGCCGCAGCUAACGCAAUAAGCAGUCCACCUGGGGAGUACGUUCGCAAGAAUGAAACUCAAAGGAAUUGACGGGGGACCCGCACAAGCGGUGGAGCAUGUGGUUUAAUUCGAAGCAACGCGAAGAACCUUACCUGAUCUUGACAUCCCGAUGACCGCUUCGCAAUGGAAGCUUUUCUUCGGAACAUCGGUGACAGGUGGUGCAUGGUUGUCGU
RNAcentral lists this ribosomal RNA (266 nucleotides) under uncultured bacterium. Its description in RNAcentral is "partial 16S ribosomal RNA". It matches the Rfam family "Bacterial small subunit ribosomal RNA", at positions 793 to 1055 of the family's 1533-position model. The record is from RNAcentral.